UACGUAGGGGGCAAGCGUUGUCCGGAUUCAUUGGGCGUAAAGAGCUCGUAGGCGGUUCGGCAAGUCGGGUGUGAAAACUCCAGGCUCAACCUGGAGACGCCACCCGAUACUGCUGUGACUUGAGUCCGGUAGGGGACCACGGAAUUCCUGGUGUAGCGGUGAAAUGCGCAGAUAUCAGGAGGAACACCGGUGGCGAAGGCGGUGGUCUGGGCCGGCACUGACGCUGAGGCGCGAAAGCUAGGGGAGCAAACGGG
Molecule: ribosomal RNA, 254 nt
Filed under: uncultured bacterium
Lineage: Bacteria
Description: partial 16S ribosomal RNA
Rfam family: Bacterial small subunit ribosomal RNA
Source: RNAcentral